Molecule: long non-coding RNA, 302 nt
Filed under: Lathyrus oleraceus (garden pea)
Lineage: Eukaryota; Viridiplantae; Streptophyta; Magnoliopsida; Fabales; Fabaceae
Description: Pisum sativum (pea) long non-coding RNA (PSAT_LNC033497)
Source: RNAcentral
UUCUCUCUUCAAUAACAGAAGUCUUUGAGUUCAUGUCAUCUGCAAGUCGCUUAUGACCUUUUAUCUUCUUUACUGCAAUAGUUUCCCGAUGCUUUGCUUCAACAGGUGAAUUAUUUUCCCUCUUAACUUUAUGUGUGUCUUUUCCUCCAUCAGCAAGAGUCGAAAUUCCUUGCUCUGAUUGCUUCAAAUCUGCACAUGGUUCUAACAGUUUUGCAGCCUUGUCAUGUUCAACAUUCACAUGAAUUUUGCUCUCCAGAUGGGAUGAUUGAGAUGUCUCAUCAACAGUGCUUUGCAAUGUCAAC